RNAcentral lists this transfer RNA (89 nucleotides) under candidate division Zixibacteria bacterium CG_4_9_14_3_um_filter_46_8. Its description in RNAcentral is "tRNA-Ser". It matches the Rfam family "tRNA". From Rfam's summary of the family: Transfer RNA (tRNA) molecules are approximately 80 nucleotides in length. The record is from RNAcentral. Lineage: Bacteria; Pseudomonadati; Candidatus Zixiibacteriota.
GGAGAGAUGUCCGAGUUGGUCUAAGGAGCAUGCCUGGAGAGCAUGUAGGGGCCAAAAGCUCCUCCUGGGUUCGAAUCCCAGUCUCUCCG